Molecule: ribosomal RNA, 341 nt
Filed under: uncultured Glomeromycotina
Lineage: Eukaryota; Fungi; Glomeromycota
Description: eukaryotic LSU rRNA
Source: RNAcentral
AUCAGCCUUUUGGGCAUGAUUCUGUGGAGCGUGAGGAGUUAAACGCCUUCAUGCCUGCAUAUUCGUGUACUUUGGGUGUACUUGCCUGUGUGGUUAGUUAACAUCAAUUUUGGUUAUCAUAAAAUGGCUGGAGGAAUGUAGCUUCGAUCUCGUAUUGAAGUGUUAUAGCCUUCGGCAGAUGUGAUGAUCGGGAUUGAGGAUUGCAGCGGAUACCCUUCGGGGCUACCUGUCUGGUCUCUGAUCGUUGCUCUGGUGCCGAAAGCGUGCUUACGGUUAUCAAAGUCGAUGGUCAACAGGUUAGAACGGGUUAAAUUCGUUAAGGAUGUUGACGUAAUGGCUUU